ACCUAGGCGACGAUCUGUACUUGGUCUGAGAGGAUGACCAGGCACACUGGAACUGAGACACGGUCCAGACUCCUACGGGAGGCAGCAGUGGGGAAUUUUCCGCAAUGGGCGCAAGCCUGACGGAGCAAUACCGCGUGAGGGAGGAAGGCUCUUGGGUUGUAAACCUCUUUUAUCAGGGAAGAAAAGAUGACGGUACCUGAUGAAUCAGCAUCGGCUAACUCCGUGCCAGCAGCCGCGGUAAUACGGGGGAUGCAAGCGUUAUCCGGAAUUAUUGGGCGUAAAGCGUCCGUAGGUGGUUUCACCAGUCUGUUGUCAAAGCGUGCGGCUCAACCGCAUACGGGCAAUGGAAACUGUGAGACUAGAGUGCGAUAGGGGUCACAGGAAUUCCCAGUGUAGCGGUGAAAUGCGUAGAUAUUGGGAAGAACACCAGCGGCGAAAGCGUGUGACUGGGUCUGCACUGACACUGAGGGACGAAAGCUAGGGGAGCGAAAGGGAUUAGAUACCCCUGUAGUCCUAGCCGUAAACGAUGACAACUAGGUGUGGUUCGUAUCGACCCGAGCCGUGCCGUAGCCAACGCGUUAAGUUGUCCGCCUGGGGAGUACGCACGCAAGUGUGAAACUCAAAGGAAUUGACGGGGGCCCGCACAAGCGGUGGAGUAUGUGGUUUAAUUCGAUGCAACGCGAAGAACCUUACCAAGGCUUGACAUCCUGCGAACUUUUCUGAAAGGAGAAGGUGCCUUCGGGAGCGCAGAGACAGGUGGUGCAUGGCUGUCGUCAGCUCGUGUCGUGAGAUGUUGGGUUAAGUCCCGCAACGAGCGCAACCCACGUUUUUAGUUGCCAGCAUUGAGUUGGGCACUCUAGAGAGACUGCCGGUGACAAACCGGAGGAAGGUGUGGAUGACGUCAAGUCAGCAUGCCCCUUACGC
Molecule: ribosomal RNA, 924 nt
Filed under: Nodosilinea foveolarum CCALA 081
Lineage: Bacteria; Bacillati; Cyanobacteriota; Cyanophyceae; Nodosilineales; Nodosilineaceae
Description: bacterial SSU rRNA
Rfam family: Bacterial small subunit ribosomal RNA
Source: RNAcentral